This 460-nucleotide ribosomal RNA is filed under the name uncultured bacterium. RNAcentral's name for it is "bacterial SSU rRNA". It matches the Rfam family "Bacterial small subunit ribosomal RNA", at positions 791 to 1243 of the family's 1533-position model. The record is from RNAcentral.
UAGUCCACGCCGUAAACGAUGUAUGCUAGUUGUUGGGGUCUUAAGGCCUCAGUGACGCAGAGAAAUCAUUAAGCAUACCGCCUGGGGAGUACGGUCGCAAGAUUAAAACUCAAAUGAAUUGACGGGGGACCCGCACAAGUAGUGGAGCAUGUGGUUUAAUUCGAAGAUACGCGCAGAACCUUACCAACACUUGACAUGUUCGUCGCGACUCUAAGAGAUUAGAGUUUUCGGUUCGGCCGGACGAAACACAGGUGCUGCAUGGCUGUCGUCAGCUCGUGUCGUGAGAUGUUGGGUUAAGUCCCGCAACGAGCGCAACCCUCACUUUUAGUUGCCAUCAUUAAGUUGGGCACUCUGAAAGAACUGCCAGUGAUAAGCUGGAGGAAGGUGGGGGAUGACGUCAAGUCCUCAUGGGGCCCUUACGUGUUGGGGCUACACACGUGCUACAAUGGGUAUCUACAAC